CCUCCCCAACUCAACCUCAUCUUCCUCGCCCAACCUAACAUCAUCAUCUCCCAACUCAACGCUCUUCCUCCCCCAACUCAACCUCAUCUUCCUCGCCCAACUCAACACAAUCAUCUCCCAACUCAACCUCAUCUUCCUCCCCAACAUCAUCUUCCUCCCCAACUCAACAUCAUCUUCCUCUUCCAAUUCAUCACGCUCUUCCUCCUCCAACUCAACCUCAUCUUCCUCCCCAACUCAUCAUCAUCUUCCUCUUCCAACCCAACACAAUCAUCUCCCAACUCAACUCUUCCUCCCCAAAAUCAUCUUCCUCCCCCAACCCAACCUCAUCUUCCUCCCCCACUCAAUGUCAUCUUCAUCCCCAACCCAACCUCAUCUUCCUCUUCCAACUCAUCAUCAUCAUCUCCCAACUCAACGCCCUCUUCCUCCCCAACAUCAUCUUCCUCCCCAUCAACCUCAUCUUCCUCCCCAACCUCAUCUUCCUCACCCAACUCAACCUCAUCUUCCUCUUCCAACUCAACAUCAUCUUCAUCCCCAACUCAUCAUCAUCUUCCUCCCCCAACUCAACCUCAUCUUCCUCACCCAACUCAAUGUCAUCAUCUCCCAACUCAACGCCCUCUUCCUCCCCAAUGUCAUCUUCCUCACCCACUCAUCAUCAUCUUCCUCACCCAACUCAACCUCAUCUUCAUCCCCAACUCAACGCUCUUCCUCCCCAACCUCAUCUUCCUCCCCAACUCAACAUCAUCUUCCUCCCCAACCCAACCUCAUCUUCCUCCCCCAACUCAACCUCAUCUUCAUCCCCAACUCAUCAUCAUCUUCCUCACCCAACCCAACGUCAUCUUCAUCCCCAACCCAACCUCAUCUUCCUCUUCCAACUCAACGCGCUCUUCCUCCCCAACCUCAUCUUCCUCCCCCACUCAAUGUCAUCUUCAUCCCCAACCCAACCUCAUCUUCCUCUUCCAACUCAUCA
This 967-nucleotide long non-coding RNA is filed under the name Anas zonorhyncha (Eastern spot-billed duck). Its description in RNAcentral is "lncRNA (ENSAZOG00000007823.1)". Lineage: Eukaryota; Metazoa; Chordata; Aves; Anseriformes; Anatidae. The record is from RNAcentral.